RNAcentral lists this ribosomal RNA (759 nucleotides) under Bacillus sp. b137(2010). RNAcentral's name for it is "bacterial SSU rRNA". It matches the Rfam family "Bacterial small subunit ribosomal RNA", at positions 46 to 785 of the family's 1533-position model. Lineage: Bacteria; Bacillati; Bacillota; Bacilli; Caryophanales; Bacillaceae. The record is from RNAcentral.
GCCUAAUACAUGCAAGUCGAGCGAAUCUGAUGGGAGCUUGCUCCCUGAUGAUUAGCGGCGGACGGGUGAGUAACACGUGGGUAACCUGCCUGUAAGACUGGGAUAACUCCGGGAAACCGGGGCUAAUACCGGAUAACUUUUUUCUUCGCAUGAGGGAGAAUUGAAAGAUGGCUUCGGCUAUCACUUACAGAUGGACCCGCGGCGCAUUAGCUAGUUGGUGAGGUAACGGCUCACCAAGGCGACGAUGCGUAGCCGACUUGAGAGGGUGAUCGGCCACACUGGGACUGAGACACGGCCCAGACUCCUACGGGAGGCAGCAGUAGGGAAUCUUCCGCAAUGGACGAAAGUCUGACGGAGCAACGCCGCGUGAGUGAUGAAGGUUUUCGGAUCGUAAAACUCUGUUGUUAGGGAAGAACAAGUAUCGUUCGAAUAGGGCGGUACCUUGACGGUACCUAACCAGAAAGCCACGGCUAACUACGUGCCAGCAGCCGCGGUAAUACGUAGGUGGCAAGCGUUGUCCGGAAUUAUUGGGCGUAAAGCGCGCGCAGGCGGUUUCUUAAGUCUGAUGUGAAAUCUUGCGGCUCAACCGCAAGCGGCCAUUGGAAACUGGGAGACUUGAGUGCAGAAGAGGAGAGUGGAAUUCCACGUGUAGCGGUGAAAUGCGUAGAGAUGUGGAGGAACACCAGUGGCGAAGGCGACUCUCUGGUCUGUAACUGACGCUGAGGCGCGAAAGCGUGGGGAGCGAACAGGAUUAGAUAC